AUUGAACGCUGGCGGCAGGCCUAACACAUGCAAGUCGAGCGGUAGAGAGGUGCUUGCACCUCUUGAGAGCGGCGGACGGGUGAGUAAUACAUGGGAAUCUGCCUGGUAGUGGGGGACAACGUUUCGAAAGGAAUGCUAAUACCGCAUACGCCCUACGGGGGAAAGGGGGGGAUCUUCGGACCUCUCGCUAUCAGAUGAGC
This 200-nucleotide ribosomal RNA is filed under the name uncultured bacterium. Its description in RNAcentral is "partial 16S ribosomal RNA". It matches the Rfam family "Bacterial small subunit ribosomal RNA", at positions 30 to 230 of the family's 1533-position model. The record is from RNAcentral.